AAGCGCACGCAGGCGGUCUGUCAAGUCGGAUGUGAAAUCCCCGGGCUCAACCUGGGAACUGCAUUCGAAACUGGCAGGCUAGAGUCUUGUAGAGGGGGGUAGAAUUCCAGGUGUAGCGGUGAAAUGCGUAGAGAUCUGGAGGAAUACCGGUGGCGAAGGCGGCCCCCUGGACAAAGACUGACGCUCAGGUGCGAAAGCGUGGGGAGCAAACAGGAUUAGAUACCCUGGUAGUCCACGCCGUAAACGAUGUCGAUUUGGAGGUUGUGCCCUUGAGGCGUGGCUUCCGGAGCUAACGCGUUAAAUCGACCGCCUGGGGAGUACGGCCGCAAGGUUAAAACUCAAAUGAAUUGACGGGGGCCCGCACAAGCGGUGGAGCAUGUGGUUUAAUUCGAUGCAACGCGAAGAACCUUACCUG
RNAcentral lists this ribosomal RNA (415 nucleotides) under Klebsiella pneumoniae. Its description in RNAcentral is "bacterial SSU rRNA". It matches the Rfam family "Bacterial small subunit ribosomal RNA", at positions 563 to 977 of the family's 1533-position model. The record is from RNAcentral. Lineage: Bacteria; Pseudomonadati; Pseudomonadota; Gammaproteobacteria; Enterobacterales; Enterobacteriaceae.